This is a small nuclear RNA of Artibeus jamaicensis (Jamaican fruit-eating bat), 109 nucleotides long. NCBI's taxonomy places the organism in Eukaryota, Metazoa, Chordata, Mammalia, Chiroptera, Phyllostomidae. The record is from RefSeq and is a predicted model, not a curated record.
GUGCUCACUUCUGCAGCACAGGUACUAAAAUUGCAAUGGUGCAGAGAAGAUCAGCACGGUCCCUGCACAAGGAUGACAAAAAACAAAAGCAGAUAAAUAAAAAGAAAUC